AGUGAACGCUGGCGGCAGGCCUAAUACAUGCAAGUCGAACGGACGGACAGUAAGCGUGCGCCCCUAAGGUUGGCGAGUGGCGGACGGGUGACGCAUACAUCGCCAUCUUCUUUUUCGUGGGGGACUACGUAGGGCAACUUACGCUAAUACCGCAUACGUUGUACCGGAGAAAUCAGGGGUUCUUGGCAGUUUGCGUGUCAGAUAGAGCUGGAUCCGGGCCGCAUUAGCUAGUUGGUAAGGUAACGGCCCACCAAGGCAACGAUGCAUAGCUGGCCUGAGAGGGUGAUCAGCCACACUGGAACUGAGACACGGUCCAGACUCCUACGGGAGGCAGCAGUGGGGAAUAUUCGGCAAUGGGCGCAAGCCUGAUGCAGCCAUACCGCGUGAGUGAUGAAGGCCUUCGGAUUGUAAAACCCUUUUAUUAGGGAAGAAAAGAAGUGUAAGUAUACCCCGCUGUUCUGACGGUACCCAAAGAGAAAGCACCGGCUAACUUCGUG
Molecule: ribosomal RNA, 497 nt
Filed under: uncultured bacterium
Lineage: Bacteria
Description: partial 16S ribosomal RNA
Rfam family: Bacterial small subunit ribosomal RNA
Source: RNAcentral